CCAAAGGCUCUUUUCAGAGCCACUACUCAUGUCUUUUAAAGAACUG
Non-coding RNA from Mesocricetus auratus (golden hamster), 46 nucleotides. The record is from Rfam. NCBI's taxonomy places the organism in Eukaryota, Metazoa, Chordata, Mammalia, Rodentia, Cricetidae.